Molecule: transfer RNA, 61 nt
Filed under: Drawida ghilarovi
Lineage: Eukaryota; Metazoa; Annelida; Clitellata; Moniligastrida; Moniligastridae
Description: tRNA-Trp
Source: RNAcentral
AAGACUUUAAGUUAUUUAAACUAAAAACCUUCAAAGUUUUCAAUGAUCAUAUCAAGUCUUG